UGCUUCAUCCUCUUCUUUUCAAUCAUCAUCGUCAUCAAACUCGAUAUACUGCAGAGUGAGAACAUGUGAGUCAAACCUGACAAUAUUUUACCAACAAAAUUAUGCAUGUGCACCCAUUUCAUAAGAAUAUGGGUUGUAUGUCAUAAAAAUAUAUUAUCGAAAAAUUCUUUGAAAUGUGCAUCUAAUGGCAUAUAACUCAUAUUUUGUUGGUAUAAUCAAUUAUCAAAGUUAUUAAAAAAUAUGAAGUGGUCAUUUAUUAGUAGAAGGAUGGAGUAUUUACUUCAAAACUGAGAUGGGGAAUGACCGAAAAGCUUCAUGUUUACCUUUUAUUUAACGCUUAUUUGCAGGAAUCAGUAUGGGGGAUGUGGUGAUUGUUGGAGCAUCUCUUUUUCAGUUUCCCGCGCCAAGACCUAAAGAAAAAAAUGCCGAGUGUGGGGGGCUGACCUUGCUGCUGCAGGCUAGCGUAGAUCGAGGAGGCAGUGGCUGCGGGUUUGUAGUAAGACGUCAGGAGAGGGUGAUGCCUGGGUCAUUGGAUGUCACCCCCAAGCAUCGAUCUCCCCUUCCUGCUUUUGAUUGCCUCCUGAUCUCACAAGAGCGGCUGGAAGGCACACGUGCCGCUAGGCUCAUCUUCCUCGUCGCCCCAUGUAGGAGAUGAAUACAACACCCAUGGCCAGGAUACGCGGACGCGGGCACCGGCUGCCCUACACGCGGGAAGAUGGAUAGUACCAUGCCCCGACCUUGACGGCUCACCAGCGGCUCGGAUCUGGAGCGGAGGCGUCGGCGAGUGAGGAGGCCACGACCAUCGUGGCGUCGGCGGAGACCCAUGGCGUGGGCUGCACAUCAAGACAUCGGCGACAGGGCGGGGGCGCGCUGCAUUGGAGAGGUCGCGCGCGAUUGGACGGGCACUGGUGAGCGUGAGGCCCUGGGUCGAGGAGAUCAGGCGGCGCUCGAAGCCGCCUCCCCGCCAUGGUGGGAGGUGCCAUCUAGAUCGGGGGAAAGAGAGGCGAGGGGAUGGAUGGGAGAAGGUGCGAGGCUAGGGAUCGGAGAGAGGACGGCGGCGGCGACGGGAGGGGAUCGAGAGGAAGGGCGUUCCUCCUGCGGGGUGGUUUUCUUGGGGUGC
RNAcentral lists this long non-coding RNA (1120 nucleotides) under Triticum aestivum (bread wheat). RNAcentral's name for it is "long non-coding RNA (TAES_LNC013189)". The record is from RNAcentral. Lineage: Eukaryota; Viridiplantae; Streptophyta; Magnoliopsida; Poales; Poaceae.